RNAcentral lists this ribosomal RNA (443 nucleotides) under uncultured bacterium. Its description in RNAcentral is "partial 16S ribosomal RNA". It matches the Rfam family "Bacterial small subunit ribosomal RNA", at positions 338 to 795 of the family's 1533-position model. The record is from RNAcentral.
CCUACGGGUGGCAGCAGUGGGGAAUAUUGGGCAAUGGAGGCAACUCUGACCCAGCAACGCCGCGUGAAUGAUGAAGGUUUUCGGAUUGUAAAGCUCUUUUCUAAGGGAAGAAGAAAGUGACGGUACCUUAGUAAUAAGUUUCGGCUAACUAAGUGCCAGCAGCCGCGGUAAUACGUAGGAGGCAAGCGUUAUCCGGAAUGACUGGGCGUAAAGGGUGCGUAGGUGGUUUCACAAGUUAGUAGCGCAACUCCGGAGCUCAACUUCGGAACUACUACUGAAACUGUUGGACUUGAGUGCAGGAGGGGCAAUCGGAAUGCCUGGUGUAGCGGUGGAAUGCGUAGAUAUUAGGAGGAACACCAGUGGCGAAGGCGGAUUGCUGGACUGUAACUGACGCUGAGGCACGAAAGCGUGGGGAGCAAACAGGAUUAGAUACCCGAGUAGUC